This is a long non-coding RNA of Trifolium pratense (red clover), 2559 nucleotides long. RefSeq lists it as uncharacterized. NCBI's taxonomy places the organism in Eukaryota, Viridiplantae, Streptophyta, Magnoliopsida, Fabales, Fabaceae. The record is from RefSeq and is a predicted model, not a curated record. The transcript is spliced from 3 exons.
AUGGAAAUUAUUAAGUGUGGAAGGAGUAAAAAAAAAAAACAUAAUAUCUUCUCUCUCUCAGAUGCACGCACGCGAAACAACCUAACUUCGGAUUCACUCGAUCUAUCGCUCCCUCUCUCAAUCACGAUCUCACUAUACCUCUCACUCGAUCAGUUUCGUUCUCUCUCACCCUAGAUUCACGAUCGAACUCGACAUCUCUCUCUCACACUCGUUCUCUCUCGAACCCUAGCCUCCAAUCCGUUUCACUGAAUCACAAAUUCCAAUUCCUAAUUGAAGAAUCAAGGCUUACUGAACCCAAAUCGAAGCUUAGUGGAACGAAUCAAAGCUCUCUCAGCUCGUUACAGAGUCAUAAUUCCACCGCCUCUUCUCUCGAUCUAAAACUGGUGAGUUUUAACGAUUAAGGGUUUUUAGGUUUUAGCAUAUGUUUAUCUUUCAUUUUAACCUUUGAUCUUUGAUUUUGAUGACUAAGGGUUUAAUCCUGGGUAAUUUUCUGUAAUCUCUUCUACUUUUGCUUUUAGUGUUGUGAAAUUCAUUGUUUUUUGCUUCUCACCGCCUCUGGUUCCCUUUACAUAGAUGUUCAAUAUUUGUGUAUCUUGUAGCCACUAACCAUUACAUAGAUGUUUGGGUGGGGAACCAAUCUCUGGCGGUACGCUUCCCUCGGUUGUUUUCUAUUUCGAUUCAGCAACAAUGUAAAGUAAGUGAUAUGGGGAUGAUGGAUGGUGACGGCUGGAAGUGGAAUCUGUUAUGGAGGAGGGAUUUCUUCUCGGAGGAACCUUUUUAUCAGUAGUUGUUAGCAGUAAUUGAUGGUUUUCAGCCUACAGCACAAGAUGAUGGUUGGAGUUGGAGGCCUGAUCCUGCGUCGGGGUUUACGGCGAAGUCUGCGUAUCAGAAUCUUAUCUUGCUGCAUCGCUCUGAAACUGAGAUGGAUCAUCUUCGGAACUUUGUCUUCAGUAAUAUAUGGAAAAGCGACGCGCCGUCAAAAGUUGUAGCUUUUUCGUGGCAAUUGAUGCUUAAUAGAAUUCCAACAAAGGCGAAUUUGACGUUGAGAGGGAUUGGUAAUGAUAUGGUCUGCUCCUUCUAUAAUGUGACUGCUGAAAAUACACUUCAUAUGUUCCUUCACUGUGGAACUUCGGCGAAAAUCUGGUAUGAGCUUGUGCAAUGGAUUGGCCAGGAGUUGCUGCUUCCACCGAGUUUUAGCCUCUCCUUCUCUAUGAUGGUAGGGUGUGGGACUGGUAAGAAAGGUAAAAAGGGGCUUAUGUUAAUUUGGCACGCGUAUAUUUGGACAAUUUGGCGUACUAGGAAUGACCGGAUCUUCAAUAAUGUGGGAAUUGACGCUGAAGAUGCGGUGGAGACUAUUAAACGUCUGUCAUGGAUGUGGUUUAUUGGGCGAAUGGCAAGAAGACCUUGUCUCUUUUAUGAAUGGUGUUGGAACCCGGGAGAUUGCUUUCACUGCUGAUGGUGUGUGCGGGUUGCUUAGGGCUGAGGAUCUACUAUUUUGCUGGUGUUAAUGUUAUUGCUGCUGCCUUCUAUGUUUGUCUGCGUUUUUGUUUUCAAAUUAAAGGCUUCCUUUUGUGGCUUUUUGUGUUGUAGUGAUCCUGUACCUAGGCUCUCCUUUAUUCUUGUACUCUUAACUCUAUAAAGUACUACUUGUGCUUUAUGGGUUCUUUAUAUAUAAAUUUUGGCUUUUAAAAAAAAUCAAUUAAUUAUUUGAAUCCAUUUAUAUUUAUUUACUAUUGAUUAUACUUAAUCUGUUAACACAAGAUAUAUUGAAAGAAAGUGAUCAGUUCAGGCACACUUUUUUCUCACUAUUAAGCUAUAUAUGCUUCUCUGUAUGACUAUCUUGUGUUUCAAAGGGACUUGUUGAUAUGCGGAUCUCUGAAUGUAACUUAUAUUGUUCAAUUGUCAUUUUCUGACUCAAGCAGUGCUACUCUUGAAGUUUGUAGAUCAUGGACAAUGGCUGAAUUAUUUACUACGUUAACAACUAUCACAUGGAUUAUUAGGCCAACAUAGUCAUCAAACUAAAAUGUUCCUAGAAAUCAAAGAAAAGUUUAAAGAAGCUGAUAAAAAUGAUCUUGAAGGCAUAUUAAAUAUGAAGAUUCAAGAUUUGGAUACUGUAGAGGAACUUAGAAUCAAAAGAGCGGACAAACAUGGAAUUGUUAAUUAUGAAGAUUUAGAGAUUGCUAUUGCAUCCGAAAACGUUGUUCAAGUCUGUGGCAUGAAGAUUUAGAGAUUGCUAUUGCAUCCGAAAACGUUGUUCAAGUCUGUGGCUUUGUCAACAUCACCUUGGUAAUCAUAGUUUUGAUAGUUGAUUUACACUUGAUGUAUGUGUUAACUGUACUCUAGGCUAUGUUAAUUACUUAAGUUGGUUAGGAUGUAUUCUAUCUAGCUAAAACCAUUUUAAUUACUUAAGUUUUAGUCAUGUUUUAGUCAUUUUAAUUACUUAGCAUGAUAUCUCUCUUUUAUUCACCAGGUUCUUUAGGAAGUGUAUUGUGAUUUUGUUAGUUUUAUGUGUGUAAUUACUUAUUGAUUAAUCAAAAGCAUGAUAUCUCUCUUUUAUUC